This 1170-nucleotide long non-coding RNA is filed under the name Rattus norvegicus (Norway rat). RNAcentral describes it as "long non-coding RNA NONRATT014896". Lineage: Eukaryota; Metazoa; Chordata; Mammalia; Rodentia; Muridae. The record is from RNAcentral.
ACUACCAUCACCUGAUGGGAAGAUGAAGGUAACUGUUAUGCAAAUCACAGUGGCGUUGAGCAGCUUAAAAAACAUCUUCACGCCUCUCCUUUUUCGAGGACUUCUGUCAUUUUUGACAUGGUGGAUUGCUGCUUGCCUCUUUUCUACAAGCCUUUUUGGGCUUUUCUAUCAUCAGUAUCUGACAGUGGCAUGAAUUUCAGUCAAAAAUGGAUAUCCAAGUCACACUUUAAAUUCAAAUAUCUGUGCCCUUGAAGGUUGACAAAAGAAGAAUGCAAAUACAACGGAGAAAAACGUAUCGGAGUGUCUUGUUUUGAAUGCUUCCUCUGUGCUCUCAGGGUGAAUUCAUGUUGUAAUAUUUAAAAAUCACAAGAUAGGUUGUUACACUGUUACACUGUGGCAUUGGAAUUGUAACUCAUCGGGAUAACCAAUGUGAGAGGGCUAUCUGCAGAGGCAAUCCUGCGGAUUACCUUGGUUUACAGUUGCAAACCUACAACAGUCUUUUAGGCUUCUCCUAGGACUCCAGUAACUGACUGCUUUCCGUGGUGUUGUGGUACUGUUAUUACUCGUAUUUGCUGCCUGUAGAACAAUCUUCAAACUGAGCCAUGCUCGAGGGAAGGGAAAGGAACUACAAUUACUUCUGUUGGUAAUGUAUUAGUCUUCAAAAAAAAUCCAACAGAAAGGAAGAGAAAGCUACUGUAUAUUACAGUAAGAAAAGUUGCAUAGUCAUUUUAAAUUGAAUGGAGAUAUAAAUCGCCUAAUGUCUACAAGCACUGUUACUUGAGAGUAGCAGGAAUAUUGUUUUAAAGUGUGUGCCACCCAGCUUGAAAGUUCUUUUGAAAUGAUUGGCCAAACGAACAUUAGCAGUCUCACUGUUAGUUUUGGGCCUCCUGUAUUUUACUUUUUCUUUGAUUCUAAAUAGUUAUGUUUAAUCUAAAAAUAUUUAUCAAUACUGAUCAAAUUUGAGAAUUACUUUGUAAUCCUGCUAAGUGUAUGUAUUGUAUAUAUAUUAUAUAUUAAAUAUAUAAUAUAUUGAGGUUAUAAAAGAUGAAAAUAUUGAAUCCUUAUAAUAUUUUAAGUUACAGAAUGUCCGUUAAACAAUGAUUGAAUGAGAUGUAUUUGUAUCUAGAAAUUUCUGUUUGGAAUGAGAUUAAAAUACAUUUUUAAAAGCUC